GCGGAGGAAAAGAAACCAACAGGGAUUGCCUCAGUAACGGCGAGUGAAGCGGCAACAGCUCAAAUUUGAAAUCUGGCUCCUUCGGGGCCCGAGUUGUAAUUUGCAGAGGAUGCGUCGGGUACGGGUGCCUUCCGAGUUCCCUGGAACGGGACGCCAUAGAGGGUGAGAGCCCCGUCUGGUAGGACACCCAGCCCGUGUGACGCUCCCUCGACGAGUCGAGUAGUUUGGGAAUGCUGCUCUAACGGGAGGUAUACUCCUUCCAAGGCUAAAUACCGGCUGGAGACCGAUAGCGCACAAGUAGAGUGAUCGAAAGAUGAAAAGCACUUUGAAAAGAGAGUCAAACAGCACGUGAAAUUGUUAAAAGGGAAGCGCUCGCUACCAGACUUGGGUUCGGCGGUUCAACCGGGGCCACGCCCCGGGGCAUUCCGCCGGCCCAGGCCAGCAUCAGCUUUCCGUCGGGGGUAAAGGCGUCGGGAAUGUGGCUCCCCUUCGGGGGAGUGUUAUAGCCCGUCGUGUCAUACCCUUCGGGGGGCUGAGGUACGCGCUUCUGCAAGGAUGCUGGCGUAAUGGUAGCUAGUGACCCGUCUUGAAACACGGACCAAGGAGUCAACCUUAUGUGCGAGUGCCCGGGCGUAAAACCCCAGCGCGGAAUGAAAGUGAACGUAGGUGAGAGCUUCGGCGCAUCACCGACCGAUCCUGAUGUCCUCGGACUGAUUUGAAAGAGAGCAUAUAGGGUUGGACCCGAAAGUAGAUGAACUAUGCGUGUGUAGGGUGAAUCCAGAGGAAACUCUGGUGGAGGCUCGCAGCGGUUCUGACGUGCAAAUCGA
Molecule: unclassified non-coding RNA, 827 nt
Filed under: Plectosphaerella cucumerina
Lineage: Eukaryota; Fungi; Ascomycota; Sordariomycetes; Glomerellales; Plectosphaerellaceae
Description: sequence contains 28S rRNA gene
Rfam family: Eukaryotic large subunit ribosomal RNA
Source: RNAcentral